Molecule: long non-coding RNA, 502 nt
Organism: Planococcus citri (citrus mealybug)
Lineage: Eukaryota; Metazoa; Arthropoda; Insecta; Hemiptera; Pseudococcidae
Exons: 3
Source: RefSeq, a predicted model, not a curated record
UUUAUUAUGUACAUGUUUUUGAACGGUUUGAAAUUUUAACUACCGUACGAUGGAUGAUUCACGUUCGAGAAAAUGAAUCCAUUGGUUUACUUUAUUCUAUGUGUUUUUGUAACGGAAGUGCUAUCAAAAAAAGCUUUACUUGUUAAUAUACGCGACGGACGCCCAUGGGGGGACCUUGAAGACCCUUGGAACCGUAAAAUCACUAUCUUCAAAUACUACGUUACGGAUUACGAUUACAAAUAUUUAGCCGCGUGCCCUGCUUCUAGCCCUCUAGAACAUCAAUUCAACAAAGAUGUCUCGUUAACCAAACAAAGCGUAUUCUCGCGAUUAAUUAUAUGGAGAAAUCGAUCACUGACAGACAGUGAUCUUGAUAUUUGUGAGGAGUCGUACGAGCCCGCCAUGAUUUAUAAUACAUUUACGGGAGAGUAUAGAAUAGGAUAUGAGCUUUAUUACUUUAAAAACGAGACUGAAUGUAAUUUCAAAAAUGGAUAUCCGGCUCUGG